Molecule: ribosomal RNA, 468 nt
Filed under: uncultured bacterium
Lineage: Bacteria
Description: partial 16S ribosomal RNA
Rfam family: Bacterial small subunit ribosomal RNA
Source: RNAcentral
GACGAACGCUGGCGGCGUGCUUAACACAUGCAAGUCGAACGGAAAGGCCCUGCUUUUGUGGGGUGCGCGAGUGGCGAACGGGUGAGUAACACGUGAGUAACCUGCCCUGGACGUUGGGAUAACGUCAGGAAACUGGGGCUAAUACCGGAUAGGAGCUCCUGCUGCAGGGUGGGGGUUGGAAAGUUUCGGCGGUUGGGGCUGGACUCGCGGCUUAUCAGCUUGUUGGUGGGGUAGUGGCUUACCAAGGCUUUGACGGGUAGCCGGCCUGAGAGGGUGACCGGCCCCCUUGGGCCUGCGCUACGGCCCAGUCUCCUACGGGAGGCAGCAGUGGGGAAUCUUGCCCAAUGGGCGGACGCCUGAUGCAGCAGCGCCGCGUGCGGGAUGCCGGCCUUCGGGUUGUAAACCGCUUUCGCCUGUGACGAAGCGUGAGUGACGGUAAUGGGUAAAGAAGCACCGGCUAACUACGUG